UUCCUACGGGAGGCAGCAGUGGGGAAUUUUGGACAAUGGGCGAAAGCCUGAUCCAGCAAUGCCGCGUGAGUGAAGAAGGCCUUCGGGUUGUAAAGCUCUUUUGUCAGGGAAGAAACGGUGAGAGCUAAUAUCUUUUGCUAAUGACGGUACCUGAAGAAUAAGCACCGGCUAACUACGUGCCAGCAGCCGCGGUAAUACGUAGGGUGCAAGCGUUAAUCGGAAUUACUGGGCGUAAAGCGUGCGCAGGCGGUUUUGUAAGUCUGAUGUGAAAUCCCCGGGCUCAACCUGGGAAUUGCAUUGGAGACUGCAAGGCUAGAAUCUGGCAGAGGGGGGUAGAAUUCCACGUGUAGCAGUGAAAUGCGUAGAUAUGUGGAGGAACACCGAUGGCGAAGGCAGCCCCCUGGGUCAAGAUUGACGCUCAUGCACGAAAGCGUGGGGAGCAAACAGGAUUAGAUACCCUGGUAGUCCA
This 469-nucleotide ribosomal RNA is filed under the name uncultured Janthinobacterium sp. RNAcentral describes it as "bacterial SSU rRNA". It matches the Rfam family "Bacterial small subunit ribosomal RNA", at positions 336 to 797 of the family's 1533-position model. The record is from RNAcentral. Lineage: Bacteria; Pseudomonadati; Pseudomonadota; Betaproteobacteria; Burkholderiales; Oxalobacteraceae.